Molecule: long non-coding RNA, 206 nt
Filed under: Lathyrus oleraceus (garden pea)
Lineage: Eukaryota; Viridiplantae; Streptophyta; Magnoliopsida; Fabales; Fabaceae
Description: Pisum sativum (pea) long non-coding RNA (PSAT_LNC002910)
Source: RNAcentral
GAUCAGCUCAAUCUCCUGCCUACAUACUUCAUCUGGUAUGAAGAUCAGGGCGAUGUAGUUCCCCUACAGAGGGAUAAAGGACUAGCCUAACCAGAUAACAGAGGGAGACACAACUAGGGAGACUACGACUCGAGCCUAGAUGUUAUCAUGCAAAUCAUCCCUAAGUUAUGGUUUCUAGCUAAAUGGCACAAGGGCCAACCUAUCCU